UACGAAGGGGGCUAGCGUUGCUCGGAAUUACUGGGCGUAAAGGGCGCGUAGGCGGACAGUUUAGUCAGAGGUGAAAGCCCAGGGCUCAACCUUGGAAUUGCCUUUGAUACUGGCUGUCUUGAGUACGGGAGAGGUGUGUGGAACUCCGAGUGUAGAGGUGAAAUUCGUAGAUAUUCGGAAGAACACCAGUGGCGAAGGCGACUCACUGGACAAAUAUUGACGCUGAGGUGCGAAAGCGUGGGGAGCAAACAGG
This 253-nucleotide ribosomal RNA is filed under the name uncultured bacterium. RNAcentral describes it as "partial 16S ribosomal RNA". It matches the Rfam family "Bacterial small subunit ribosomal RNA", at positions 524 to 776 of the family's 1533-position model. The record is from RNAcentral.